GUCAAUGUUGCUACUUUGUUACUUUUCAAUGACAUUUUAAUUCAUUGAAACACAGCUUUAGCUACAAUAGUACACAUCAAUUAAUCUGACUCUUAGAUAUAGAUGCAAAAUAAUUCAGAAUAUAUGUUGUUACAGUUUGGGGAAAUACAAUACCAACACCAUUUGCUACUAACAUUACUCUAAAUUCGUCAUUGAAACCACCAACAGCAAGUUUGACCUUUAAUACUCCGCCAAAUCUUACUACACCUUUACCAACGAGUGAAUCAAACUCGAGUUUUCAACUUCAGAAACCUCCUAUUGCACCAACUUCUAUGAUGGGAAUCAACAAUUUGAAGGCAUGUUGAAUGUAAGAACCUGCAUUUGAAGCCUAUUUAAAAAAAAAAAUGAAAAUUUAUUUCUUCAUACAUGUAUACUAUAAUUUAAUACAUAAUAGUGUUCUCUCACCUCCAUGAGAAUCGUUGUUAUAUUAGUUUUAAUAGUAUGAGGUUUAUCUGAAGUUUCUGCAAGCUUAUUUAAAAUACUACAGUAAGUAUUAGCUAAUAUUCCAAUUUGAUUAGACAGAAUAUUUGUUAACUGAACUAGUGAAUCAGUUUCAUUAACAGUGCUUCGAUGUUCUUUGAUUAAAAGUAAUUCUGCAGUUUUAUGAAACCUUUCUACAGAUAAUGCUGUAAAUUGUGCAAAACUGAAAUAGCAUGUUCAAAAGUUUCUUGAUCAUUAUGUGGUGAAUUAGUAUAAUUUUUAGAAUCUUGAAAAGCCUAAAAUCAAUAUUUAAUUUUGU
Molecule: unclassified non-coding RNA, 778 nt
Filed under: Bombus terrestris (buff-tailed bumblebee)
Lineage: Eukaryota; Metazoa; Arthropoda; Insecta; Hymenoptera; Apidae
Description: misc RNA ENSBTSG00005030895.1
Source: RNAcentral